CCGCGUGUGUGAAGAAGGCCCUAGGGUUGUAAAGCACUUUAAGUUGGGAAGAAAAGUUAUUGGUUAAUACCCAAUAACCGUGACAUUACCAUCAGAAUAAGGACCGGCUAAUUCCGUGCCAGCAGCCGCGGUAAU
RNAcentral lists this ribosomal RNA (135 nucleotides) under uncultured bacterium. RNAcentral describes it as "partial 16S ribosomal RNA". It matches the Rfam family "Bacterial small subunit ribosomal RNA", at positions 397 to 524 of the family's 1533-position model. The record is from RNAcentral.